This 816-nucleotide ribosomal RNA is filed under the name uncultured bacterium. RNAcentral describes it as "bacterial SSU rRNA". It matches the Rfam family "Bacterial small subunit ribosomal RNA", at positions 8 to 818 of the family's 1533-position model. The record is from RNAcentral.
AGAGUUUGAUCCUGGCUCAGGAUGAACGCUAGCGACAGGCUUAACACAUGCAAGUCGAGGGGCAGCGGGGAGUAGCAAUACUUCGCCGGCGACCGGCGCACGGGUGAGUAACACGUGUGCAACCAACCCCGUACCGGGAGAUAACCCGCGGAAACGUGGACUAACAUCCCAUGAUACUCGAGGGCCGCAUGGCUCUCGAUUUAAAAUUCCGGUGGUACGGGACGGGCACGCGCGACAUUAGGUAGUUGGCGGGGUAACGGCCCACCAAGCCGACGAUGUCUAGGGGUUCUGAGAGGAAGGUCCCCCACACUGGAACUGAGACACGGUCCAGACUCCUACGGGAGGCAGCAGUGAGGAAUAUUGGUCAAUGGGCGAGAGCCUGAACCAGCCAAGUCGCGUGAGGGAAGAAUGGUCUAUGGCCUGUAAACCUCUUUUGUCAGGGAAGAAUAAGGAUGACGAGUCAUUCGAUGCCAGUACUUGACGAAUAAGCAUCGGCUAACUCCGUGCCAGCAGCCGCGGUAAUACGGGGGAUGCGAGCGUUAUCCGGAUUUAUUGGGUUUAAAGGGCGCGUAGGCGGGACGUCAAGUCAGCGGUAAAAGACUGCAGCUAAACUGUAGCACGCCGUUGAAACUGGCGCCCUGGAGACGAGACGAGGGAGGCGGAACAAGUGAAGUAGCGGUGAAAUGCAUAGAUAUCACUUGGAACCCCGAUAGCGAAGGCAGCUUCCCAGGCUCGUUCUGACGCUGAUGCGCGAGAGCGUGGGUAGCGAACAGGAUUAGAUACCCUGGUAGUCCACGCCGUAAACGAUGCUCACUG